RNAcentral lists this ribosomal RNA (788 nucleotides) under uncultured bacterium. RNAcentral describes it as "bacterial SSU rRNA". It matches the Rfam family "Archaeal small subunit ribosomal RNA", at positions 46 to 842 of the family's 1478-position model. The record is from RNAcentral.
AAGCCAUGCGAGUCGAGAGGUGUAAGACCUCGGCAUACUGCUCAGUAACACGUGGUUAACCUGCCCUAAGGUGGAGAAUACUCCCGGGAAACUGGGGUUAAUGCUCCAUAGUGGAUAUGUCCUGGAAUGGUAUAUCCUCGGAAGAUCCGUCGCCUUAGGAUGGGACUGCGUCCGAUUAGGUUGUUGGCGGGGUAACGGCCCACCAAGCCAUUGAUCGGUACGGGUUGUGGGAGCAAGAUCCCGGAGAUGGAUUCUGAGACAUGAAUCCAGGCCCUACGGGGCGCAGCAGGCGCGCAAACUUUACAAUGCGAGCAAUCGUGAUAAGGAAACCCUGAGUGCCUGUCGAUGCAGGCUGUUCAUAUAUCUAAAUCAUAUGUGAAGAAAGGGCAGGGCAAGACCGGUGCCAGCCGCCGCGGUAAUACCGGCUGCUCGAGUGAUGGCCACUAUUACUGGGUUUAAAGCGUCCGUAGCUUGACUGUUAGGUCCCUUGGGAAAUCUUCGCGCUUAACGUGAAGGCGUCUAAGAGAUACCGGCAGUCUUGGAACUGGGAGAGGUAAACCGUACUUCGGGGGUAGGAGUGAAAUCUUGUAAUCCUCGAGGGACGACCUAUGGCGAAGGCAGUUUACCAGAACAGCUUCGACAGUGAGGGACGAAAGCUGGGGGAGCAAACGGGAUUAGAUACCCCGGUAGUCCCAGCCGUAAACAAUGUGCGUUAGGUGUGUCGGUAACCACGCGUUACUGAUGCGCCGAAGAGAAAUCGUGAAACGCACCACCUGGGAAGUACGGUC